Molecule: ribosomal RNA, 462 nt
Filed under: uncultured bacterium
Lineage: Bacteria
Description: partial 16S ribosomal RNA
Rfam family: Bacterial small subunit ribosomal RNA
Source: RNAcentral
GAUGAACGCUGGCGGCGUGCCUAAUACAUGCAAGUCGAGCGGUAAGGCCCUUCGGGGUACACGAGCGGCGGACGGCUGAGUAACACGUAGGAACGUACCCCAAACUGAGGGAUAAGCACCAGAAAUGGUGUCUAAUACCGCAUGUGGCCCACGGGCUAAAGCUCCGGCGGUUUGGGAACGGCCUGCGUCCGAUUAGCUAGUUGGCGAGGUAAUAGCUCACCAAGGCGACGACCGGUAGCUGGUCUGAGAGGAUGAUAAGCCAGACUGGGACUGAGACACGGCCCAGACUCCUACGGGAGGCAGCAGUAGGGAAUUUUCCUCAAUGGGGGCAACCCUGAUGGAGCAACGCCGCGUGCAGGAUGAAGGCCUUCGGGUUGUAAACCUCUUUUAGUAGGGAAGAAGCGAAAGUGACGGUACCUGCAGAAAAAGCACCGGCUAACUACGUGCCAGCAGCCGCCGUAA